GACGAACGCUGGCGGCGUGCUUAACACAUGCAAGUCGAACGGUGAAGCGCCUUCCUUUUUGGUGGGUGUGGAUGAGUGGCGAACGGGUGAGUAACACGUGAGUAACCUGCCCCCUUCUUCUGGACAACCGCAUGAAAGUGUGGCUAAUACGGGAUAUUCUGGGUCUGUCGCAUGAUGGGUCUGGGAAAGAUAUUGUUUCGGUGGGGGAUGGGCUCGCGGCCUAUCAGCUUGUUGGUGGGGUGAUGGCCUACCAAGGCGGUGACGGGUAGCCGGCCUGAGAGGGUGGACGGUCACACUGGGACUGAGACACGGCCCAGACUCCUACGGGAGGCAGCAGUGGGGAAUAUUGCACAAUGGGCGCAAGCCUGAUGCAGCGACGCCGCGUGAGGGAUGGAGGCCUUCGGGUUGUGAACCUCUUUCGCCAGUGAAGCAGGCCUGCCUCGUUUGUGGGUGGGUUGACGGUAGCUGGAGAAGAAGCGCCGGCUAACUACGUG
RNAcentral lists this ribosomal RNA (494 nucleotides) under uncultured bacterium. RNAcentral describes it as "partial 16S ribosomal RNA". It matches the Rfam family "Bacterial small subunit ribosomal RNA", at positions 28 to 507 of the family's 1533-position model. The record is from RNAcentral.